CCGAGUUUACGACUCCCAAACCCCUGUGAAACAUACCUAUAUGUUGCCCUCGGCGGAUCAGCCCGCGCCCCUGUAAAACGGGACGGCCCGCCGCAGGAUCCACAAACUCUGUUUUUAUUGUAACUUCUGAGUAACAAAACAAAUAAAUCA
RNAcentral lists this unclassified non-coding RNA (150 nucleotides) under soil metagenome. RNAcentral's name for it is "partial internal transcribed spacer 1". The record is from RNAcentral.